UACGUAGGGGGCAAGCGUUAUCCGGAUUUACUGGGUGUAAAGGGAGCGUAGACGGCAUGGCAAGCCAGAUGUGAAAUACCGGGGCUCAACCCCGGGGCUGCCGUUGAAACCGGAGCGCUAGAAUUCCGAUGCCGUCGGAGGAAUGUGUGGUGUAGCGGUGAAAUGCAUAGAUAUCACACAGAACACCGAUUGCGAAGGCAUCUGACGAAUCGGAGAUUGACGCUGAUGCACGAAAGCGUGGGUAUCGAACAGG
Molecule: ribosomal RNA, 253 nt
Filed under: uncultured bacterium
Lineage: Bacteria
Description: partial 16S ribosomal RNA
Rfam family: Bacterial small subunit ribosomal RNA
Source: RNAcentral